Molecule: ribosomal RNA, 70 nt
Filed under: Candidatus Vogelbacteria bacterium
Lineage: Bacteria; Candidatus Vogeliibacteriota
Description: partial 16S ribosomal RNA
Rfam family: Bacterial small subunit ribosomal RNA
Source: RNAcentral
UUUUUUUAAGAGUUUGAUCCUAGCUCAGGAUGAACGCUGGCGACGUGGAUAAGGCAUGCAAGUCAAGGGG